Molecule: long non-coding RNA, 1825 nt
Organism: Hemibagrus wyckioides
Lineage: Eukaryota; Metazoa; Chordata; Actinopteri; Siluriformes; Bagridae
Exons: 4
Source: RefSeq, a predicted model, not a curated record
UUAAUCCAUGUUACUUCUCUUAUUGCUUCUUUUCUAUCUAUCUAUCUAUCUAUCUAUCUAUCUAUCUAUCUAUCUAUCUAUCUAUCUAUCUAUCUAUCUAUCUAUCUAUCUAUCUAUCUAUCUAUCUAUCUAUCUAUCUAUCUAUUACAUACACGCACAUUUAAUACCACCUGCUUAAUACUGUGCAGGUCCUCCUUGUGCCAUCAAAACAGCUCAGAGCCUCAACCCAUGGACUCCACAAGACUUCUAAAGGUGUGCUGUGGACACCAAGAUAAUUAGCAGCAGAUGCUUUAAAUCAUAUAAAGUGCAAGAUGGAGCUUCUAUUUAUCAGAUGUUUUUGUCCAGCACAUCCUACAUCUGACGCUUAGUUGGAUUAUUUGCUGAAUAUUUGCGAUUUUGCCAUCAUAAUUUGGCUAUUUGGCUUUUAUCAGUCACUCAGAUCCUUACGCUUGCCCAUUUCUCCUGCUUCUGACACAUCAAUGUCAAGUUCACUUGUUCCCUAAUAUUAUAUAAUAUAUAUAAUAAUAUAUAAUGUAUAGAUAUGAGGUUUCUGCUGUUGACAGUCUCUCUCACUGAUAUUUCACACAGGUGAAAAUGAUCAUCAUUUCUGUGAUUUCAUUUAGAUGAUAAAAAAUUCAUGUUCAUCAUUAGUGAAAUUAAGCCCAAAUCAUUUUUAAUCCUGUGCCAGGCCCAGCGUGGAAGGGUUCAAGCUCGCGGCUGUAAAGCGUGGCACCUGUUUGAGAGCAAAUGUUUCCUCUGUCAGAUGGAGACUGAUUGCUGAUUGCUAAUGCCUUCUGUGGGUGUUGAGUCUUCACGUAGGUGGCUGAUUGUUGUUGCCUGGAUGGAGGGUAAAGUGAUGCGUCAUCGCCAGAGACAACGCAGCACUUUGGCGCAUAAUGCGGACAUCUUCUGGGAACGAAAGUGUCUGGAGGCAACGGACGAGAGGAAGAGUAGAACGAGAGAUAGUCAGAGGCUGGUAGUAAAGCGCAAUGUUGAUUCCUUUCGAGUGGAUGAGGAACACUGGUCACUAGAGAGAUGAGCACGACAACACAGCCAAUCUGAAAGCGGCAUCAAAUGCUUUCAUCCGGAGAGACUUACUACUGAGGCAGUUCAAUCCGAGAAUAGAGCUGUUCGAAGAGCCGACAGUAAUGAAGAUGACGUGGAGGAACUGCAGGAUUUAUCAAGGCUACUCCUGACCUGCUGGAGAGAGCGAUGGCCUCGCCGCGAUCGGCAAAACAUUAUUUAUGGCUGGCAAUUUAGCAUACAGAUGAAAACGAGGGACCACCAGCUGCUGUCGCACACGGUGGUCACGGUGAUUACCGUCUGAACACGUGCUCUCAUGGGAACUCCGCGAUGACAACAAGGCAAAUUAAUUCUGUCUUUCGCUCACCUGUUUGUUCGUUCAUGCUCUUUCCCUCGCACACUAGCACUCAGUUAGUAUUUCACUUCCUCUCAUAAUAAGCCUUAUUCAGACAUUAGAGAUAUUAUGCACAUGAUUUAUAGCUAUACACUCCCAUAGAUCUUUCAUGCACCGAGUUCACUCAUGCAUUUGUCUUCUUUGAGGACUCAUACACGCGCAUGCUGAGAGGCCUAUUCAAAAUGCGAGUUGGAUUCCUGCCGUCAGCCACUGAAGAAAUACUCCAAACGAGGGAAGAAAGAAAAGAUAUAUGAAAUAAAGAAAAUCACAGACCAUUAUGUAAUACAAUAGACUGCCUAGAGUCUAAAUAAAAAAGCACAUCUCUUCAUAAAGAACAUCACAUCUACAGCAUAAUAACUUUCCAUGACAUGAUAAAAAAAAUACCGUAGGAAUAAAGAAUAUUUCUAA